GCCAGGAGGCUGACACAGGGGUGGAGUCCUGCCUCGCGCCUACCCUGCCUCUGAGGGUCUUGCCCUUCCCGUUUCCUAAUUCCCUUUAGGAAACCAAGGCCUUGGUGUCGCAGGAAACGGGAAGAAAGAGAAACUCGUUUACCCUGGAGCUACCUGUUGGAGCUGGAUCCAGGCUCCCCCACCUGAGCAGCCUGAGGAUGGUCUCUCUGGCAUGGUGGACGCAGGCCCCUUGAGUUGUUACCCUGGGUUCCUAACCAGGAGGCAGAAGUGGGAGCUGAGGGAUCCUUAGCGCCUGGUCCUGCACAUGGAGAAACGUCAGUUUUGGUAAAUUCUGUUCGUUACCGUCAUCCCGAGACUAAAGCUCAAGGAGACAAGGCACAGACCCCGUAAUAAGCAUGGCAGGCAACCGUGAGUGCGCAGAUUUUUUGAGUCAAGUCUUACUGUGUAACCCUGGCUUGCCUGGAAUUUACCAAAUAAACCAGGCUGGCCUUGAACUCACAGAGGUCUUCAUGUUUCUGCCUCUGAAUUGCUGGGAUUAAAAGGCAUACACCACCAUGUCAGGUCAGCCCGUGUUCAUUUUGACAACCCACUCUCCCCCCCUCUUGUGACAAGAAUAGAGCAUCGUGACUGAGAGCUCACAGCUGCUAUGCUGGUCUGCUCCGGUGUAAAUGACUGUGUUCCCACAAAGUGACAGAUGCAGAGGUCACGGGGUAUCAUCUGGGAGAACGAAGAGCAUUGUAAGAGGCUACAGGAACCAUGGUUGAUACUUCCACCAUAUGAGCACAUGGAGAAGAUUCUGUCUGGAAAAAAUGACACUUGGCGGACACUGCAUCUUAGGUGCCUUGGUCCUGGACUUCCGGGCCUUCUGGAAAAUGAGGACUGAAGCCAUAACAAGCUUCUUCUGUUCACGCCAAAGCCACUGAUCUACUUUGAUGUCAAAUAUCUUCCCAAGGCCCAUGUGUCAAAGCCUUGGUCCCAAAGGUAACAGUACUGGGAAACGAUAGAACUGUUGAGAGACGGGGCCUAGGGGUCAUCAGGUCGUUUGGGCAAGCCCUGAAAGGGAAUUGAGGGUCCUCCCCUCUCUUUUCUUCCAGGCCAGGGAAGGAAUGACUUUGUUCUGUCAUACACUCCGGCUACUGUGCACUGCCUCACCAUAGGACGGAAGCAGCAAUGCCAGUGGGCACAUCGGAAGAGCCAUCUGCUCAAAUGUAUGUCAGACAGGAAAGUGGUCCCAAAUGAAUGAUUCACAACAUUCCUCACGGUGGGUUGAGAUCCAUGCUCAGGGAACGUCGAUUGUGCGUUGGGAGAUGGCAAGAAUGAAGGAUGGGAAAGCUGCGUGCGCGUGGAUGAGCCGCUCGGCUCUGGGGAGACUUCUGGGUGUGAACCCCGGCUCUACCAACGCUCUCCGAAUAAUCUCGUCAGCUUUAUAUCCCCGUGUCUCCGUUUCUUCAUCUGUAGAACGAGGGAUAAAAUGAUUGCUUGCCAUGCGCAGGGCCUUGAGGUUGAGCCUCAGCUCCCCACAGAAUAGUGAUAAUUGAUAUAAUUAAUAGUAAUAAUGCUAAUACUACUAAUGACAGCAGCACUGACUCUGUAGGGUUGCUGUGUUAGCUUUCUGCGUCAGUCACUAAAAUGUCUACCAGAGAAACGUCAACCAGUAGGGGAGGAGGGAUUUUUUUGCUUAGUCCGAGAACGGCUCUUCCCAUCCGCCUCAGUCCCCCCUUGCGGGAGCUCUCCUAGGCUGACUUCCGUCGAAAUCCAAAAGCUCUCCCUGGGCCUUGAUCCCCACAGUGUUUCUCUCCUUGUGUCUCUGUCUCCUCAAAUCUCUCUCUGCCUCUGCCCCCUGGCUCUACUGACCCAGCGUCCAGUCAACAGCUCUCCUUCCCUCUGCGGCCAUAACAUCUUGGUUUUGAUUUAGUUCCUGUCACAGCUUGAGAGGUUUACGAUUCUAAUACAGAUGACCUUGAUCGGGAAGCAUGCCAGGUCUUCCUCUGCAGGCCAGGCUCAUCGGCGGAGCUGCUCACUGACUCCCAGACCAGGGCUGAGCGAGGCAGCCGAUGGCCGGGCACAGGACAGUGAUGGUGGGCUGGAAUCCUGGGAACACAUGCUUUGGGAUGUGGCCCCUGUUGUAAAGCUCCUAGCGGCUGCUCCUCAUUGUCCACGAGACCAGCUCAUUCUACAGGGAAAGAGCACUUGGUAGAAAGAACUGGAAAUGGAGACGCAUUUGCCAAGCACAAUGAAUCAAUACCAGGAUGUGAGGAAGCCCAGGACGGGGAGUGGAGAUGCGUUAUGAGGAAAUGCGCCGUGUGGACGAAGUCCAGGGUAAUCCCACUGGUCACUUGUAGUACUCCGUAAGCACUAAGUGCAGAAGUGCUCUUUGGGGCAUUUCCCGGAGGCUAAGAGGAGGAACUACAGGAUGUCCACGGGCUGGGGAGGCUCGGUGGCAAAGUGGUUGCCUAGGCAAUGCAAGGCCCUGGAUUCAAACCCCUACAGAAGGGGCUUGGGGACCCACAGCUUCAUGGCAGAGUGCCCAGAUACACCACUGGGAGUAAACAGGUCUCUUCAAGUGACCAUAGGAAAGCCAGGCUCUGUGACACAUGUCUGGAAUCCCAGGCCUGGGAAGUUUGAGGCAAACUCCAGGCCACUCUGGGCUACAAUGUGAGAUCUAUCUUCAAACAGACACAACAAAGAGAAUCCCACAGUGAUGGGGACAGCCCUCAGCCCGCGGUGAUGAUGGGGACAGUUCUCAGCAACAACAAAGUUGAAGAAUUAGAGCCCAGGCCAUGGUCCAGGCCCUGUUCCGUUCUCUUCCCGGUGCAGAACCUCUCUCUCCAGAAUUGACCUUUUGUGUGUAUACUAAUUUCAUGGCUAUCCCGGGUCAGCCCCCAAAGCUGCGUGACUUAGAGGGAGGAGCCAGAGAGACUUCUGGGCUCUCCCAGUUGUCCUGUGCGAGGGCUUGCUCAGUGCUUCUCAGCCUUCCUGACAAUGUGACCCUUGAAUGCAGUUCCUCACGUUGUGAUGACCCCAGCCAUACAGCGAUUGGUACUCCAGAACUGUAAUCCCGCUACCGCUGUGAAUCCUCCUGUGUUUCCCAAUGGCCACAGGCGACCCCUGAGAAAGGGUUGCUCCACCUUGCCAAGGACUUGCGACCCACAGGUUGAGAACUGCUUUAGCUGCUUGUGGAUUUAUCAAGUUUAUUCUGUGACAUCCAGUCCGGAGGCAGCAUGCAGGCUGGAAAACAGCCUGGGCUCUGAAGCAGAUGAGCCUGGUCUCGAGGCCUGGCACCUUCCAGGCUCUCAGACUCCUCUGCUCUUCUGCAGCCUGGGAUUCUGUCUGCUGGGGAGGCUCCGAACCUGCUUUUGUGAAAUGGUGUGAGCGAGCGGAGGCAUGGCCCUUGUUUGCCGUCUACAGCUGGGGAGUGGAACGGGAGACCAAGACUUGACCUGAGGGAGUUGGACCUGAGGGAAGAGCAGGGUGUGGGACAGUGGAGAAGCUGUCAGGCUGUCUCUCCUGAUGGUACGGAGUUCAGAAGCAGGGGUG
Molecule: long non-coding RNA, 3537 nt
Organism: Alexandromys fortis (reed vole)
Lineage: Eukaryota; Metazoa; Chordata; Mammalia; Rodentia; Cricetidae
Exons: 3
Source: RefSeq, a predicted model, not a curated record